CAGUAGCCGCGGUAAAACGUAGGGUGCAAGCGUUAAUCGGAAUUACUGGGCGUAAAGCGUGCGCAGGCGGUUCGUUAAGACAGAUGUGAAAUCCCCGGGCUCAACCUGGGAACUGCAUUUGUGACUGGCAAGCUAGAGUCUGGCAGAGGGGGGUGGAAUUCCGCGUGUAGCAGUGAAAUGCGUAGAUAUGCGGAGGAACACCGAUGGCGAAGGCAGCCCCCUGGGCCAACACUGACGCUCAUGCACGAAAGCGUGGGGAGCAAACAGGAUUAGAUACCCCCGUAGUCCCUGUCUCUUAUAC
This 301-nucleotide ribosomal RNA is filed under the name uncultured bacterium. RNAcentral describes it as "partial 16S ribosomal RNA". It matches the Rfam family "Bacterial small subunit ribosomal RNA", at positions 509 to 807 of the family's 1533-position model. The record is from RNAcentral.